RNAcentral lists this ribosomal RNA (608 nucleotides) under uncultured bacterium. Its description in RNAcentral is "bacterial SSU rRNA". The stretch from base 1 to 524 matches the Rfam family "Bacterial small subunit ribosomal RNA", at positions 338 to 873 of the family's 1533-position model. The record is from RNAcentral.
CCUACGGGAGGCAGCAGUGGGGAAUCUUGCGCAAUGGGCGAAAGCCUGACGUAGCAACGCCGCGUGAGGGACGAAGGUUUUCUGAAUUGUAAACCUCUUUCAGCAGGGAAGAUAAUGACGGUACCUGCAGAAGAAGCACCGGCUAACUACGUGCCAGCAGCCGCGGUGAUACGUAGGGUGCAAGCGUUGUCCGGAUUUAUUGGGCGUAAAGAGCUCGUAGGCGGUUUGGUAAGUCGGUUGUGAAAUCCCCAGGCUCAACCUGGGGCCUGCAUUCGAUACUGCCAUGACUAGAGUUUGGUAGGGGACCACGGAAUUCCUGGUGUAGCGGUGGAAUGCGCAGAUAUCAGGAGGAACACCAGUAGCGAAGGCGGUGGUCUGGGGCCAAUACUGACGCUGAGGAGCGAAAGCGUGGGGAGCAAACAGGAUUAGAUACCCUGGUAGUCCACGCCGUAAACGGUGGGCAACUAGGUGUGGGGACCUAUUCAACGGUUUCGCGCCGACGCUAACGCAUUAAGUGCCCCGCCUGGAGGUACGGCCGCGAGGACGUAAACUACAACGAAGUAGACGGACGUGAGACGUGCCGAACGGACGACGACGAGGGAGGUAGG